RNAcentral lists this long non-coding RNA (604 nucleotides) under Equus caballus (horse). RNAcentral describes it as "lncRNA (ENSECAG00000056798.1)". The record is from RNAcentral. Lineage: Eukaryota; Metazoa; Chordata; Mammalia; Perissodactyla; Equidae.
UGCAAGUCCAUUAAAUGGCAGAACUUGAUUGUAUGUCAUUAACCUGGAGUCUUCAUCAAACUCAUGAGGGUGUAAACCAUAGCUUCUUGUCCGCAGAGCCGAAGACCAGAGAGAGAGCUAUAAAAAACAGUGAGAAUGAUGCUCUUGAUAGAUUUCUUCACAAAGAACUGUAACUCUGGUCAAUAGUGGAGAACUUGAAUAUUGCGAUCACUUGUUCUUUGUGCAAAAUAUUGGACCGAGAAACCUGGAGCUGCAGCUGACAGAGAACAAACUAGAAUUUAGACUGACCAACCCAUGAACUCUCUAGUUGUGGGGAAUCUGUGAAUAUAAGCUCUUGAAGAGUUGGCCCUACUUUUGUUUCCAACGAGGAAGAGAUCUGCCUAAAAUUUGCAGAGCAGCCUGGUUUUUCAGAAGAACGGAUGAGAAACAAUCAGCCUCCUUGACGUGCCAAUAUCCCUUGGCCCUGAACUAUAGCUGAGUUAUUAAAGAACACAGGUAAUAGGUGCUGGUGGAUGUCUGGAAGGAGGAGGAAGGAACUCAGUGUCCAGCUCAGAAAGGCCACAGCAAGUACACGGCUUCCCAACCAGGACACAGCUGAGGCCAC